UCUACGGGUGGCAGCAGUGAGGAAUAUUGGUCAAUGGACGCAAGUCUGAACCAGCUAUGCCGCGUGCAGGAUGACGGCUCUAUGAGUUGUAAACUGCUUUUGUACGAGGGUAAACCCCGAUACGUGUAUCGGGUUGAAAGUAUCGUACGAAUAAGGAUAGGCUAACUCCGUGCCAGCCGCCGCGGUAAUACGGAGGAUCCGAGCGUUAUCUGGAUUGAUUGGGUUUAAAGGGUGCGUAGGCGGUUUGAUAAGUUCGAGGUGAAAGGGCUGGGCUCAACCCCGAAACUGCCUCGAAUACUGUUUGACUAGAGAAUAGUUGCGGUAGGCGGAAUGUAUGGUGUAGCAGUGAAAUGCUUAGAGAUCAUAAAGAACACCGAUUGCGAAGGCAGCUUCCCAAACUAUAUCUGACGUUGAGGCACGAAAGCGUGGGUAGCAAACAGGAUUAGAUACCCGUGUAGUC
This 460-nucleotide ribosomal RNA is filed under the name uncultured bacterium. Its description in RNAcentral is "partial 16S ribosomal RNA". It matches the Rfam family "Bacterial small subunit ribosomal RNA", at positions 338 to 795 of the family's 1533-position model. The record is from RNAcentral.